RNAcentral lists this ribosomal RNA (105 nucleotides) under uncultured bacterium. RNAcentral's name for it is "partial 16S ribosomal RNA". It matches the Rfam family "Bacterial small subunit ribosomal RNA", at positions 1379 to 1482 of the family's 1533-position model. The record is from RNAcentral.
CCUUGUACACACCGCCCGUCACACCACGAAAGUUGGCAACACCCGAAGCCAGUGGCCCAACCCUUUGGGAGGGAGCUGUCGAAGGUGGGGUCAGCGAUCGGGGUG